RNAcentral lists this ribosomal RNA (783 nucleotides) under Klebsiella pneumoniae. RNAcentral describes it as "partial 23S ribosomal RNA". It matches the Rfam family "Bacterial large subunit ribosomal RNA", at positions 452 to 1238 of the family's 2925-position model. RNAcentral also lists the same sequence under 1 other name. Lineage: Bacteria; Pseudomonadati; Pseudomonadota; Gammaproteobacteria; Enterobacterales; Enterobacteriaceae. The record is from RNAcentral.
ACCAUCCUCCAAGGCUAAAUACUCCUGACUGACCGAUAGUGAACCAGUACCGUGAGGGAAAGGCGAAAAGAACCCCGGCGAGGGGAGUGAAAAAGAACCUGAAACCGUGUACGUACAAGCAGUGGGAGCACCUUCGGGUGUGACUGCGUACCUUUUGUAUAAUGGGUCAGCGACUUAUAUUCUGUAGCAAGGUUAACCGUAUAGGGGAGCCGCAGGGAAACCGAGUCUUAACUGGGCGUUAAGUUGCAGGGUAUAGACCCGAAACCCGGUGAUCUAGCCAUGGGCAGGUUGAAGGUUGGGUAACACUAACUGGAGGACCGAACCGACUAAUGUUGAAAAAUUAGCGGAUGACUUGUGGCUGGGGGUGAAAGGCCAAUCAAACCGGGAGAUAGCUGGUUCUCCCCGAAAGCUAUUUAGGUAGCGCCUCGUGAAUUCAUCUUCGGGGGUAGAGCACUGUUUCGGCUAGGGGGUCAUCCCGACUUACCAACCCGAUGCAAACUACGAAUACCGAAGAAUGUUAUCACGGGAGACACACGGCGGGUGCUAACGUCCGUCGUGAAGAGGGAAACAACCCAGACCGCCAGCUAAGGUCCCAAAGUCAUGGUUAAGUGGGAAACGAUGUGGGAAGGCACAGACAGCCAGGAUGUUGGCUUAGAAGCAGCCAUCAUUUAAAGAAAGCGUAAUAGCUCACUGGUCGAGUCGGCCUGCGCGGAAGAUGUAACGGGGCUAAACCAUGCACCGAAGCUGCGGCAGCGACACUAUGUGUUGUUGGGUAGGGGAGCG